AUCGCUUCUCGGCCUUUUGGCUAAGAUCAAGUGUAGUAUCUGUUCUUAUCAGUUUAAUAUCUGAUAUGUCCUCUAUAUGAGGACUACAUAUUAAGCAGAUUUUUGGCAUGAGGGGAGAAAUUUGGAGCUUGCUCCCAGAAUUUCUCCUUUCAUGCCAAACUGCUUAAUAUCCUCAUAAGAGACAUAUCAGAU
Hippoglossus stenolepis (Pacific halibut) is the source of this 192-nucleotide small nuclear RNA. RefSeq annotates it as U2 spliceosomal RNA. The transcript has a single exon. Lineage: Eukaryota; Metazoa; Chordata; Actinopteri; Pleuronectiformes; Pleuronectidae. The record is from RefSeq and is a predicted model, not a curated record.